UUUCUGUCGCACCUGAGCGUUUUCAGGUCUCGCCUAAGGUCCGGGGCCGCUGGGCGCGCGGCGAGGUCCUGGCGCCCUCUGGCGGGGUCCGCGGACAAGCCCCCUGCCCGGCCCGCCGGCCGCAGACACCGUGUUGGGCUGGGCGUCGCUUCGCAGUCCGUCCCGGGACCGGCCCUGGGGCCUUCCCCUGCGGCUCGGGUUUCGAACUCAGGUUGCAGUGAGUGGCCAAGGAGGCAGCGUUUUCUGGAGUGCUUUCUCAUAAGCUUAUCUGUGGCUGAUACCUGAUGAAAACUGAGGAAAUAGGAACUACCUCUUGUGGAGGGGAAGCAGGCCUACAGUGGGCCAGGCCCUGUACCAGCUCCCUGAAAAGCAUCUACUGUGGACACCUGCACAGCUUUCAUAUCAGGAUGUUCAAAGUCCACAGCACUGAGUAAAUGACAGAGCUGUGGAAAGAAGACAAGGCUCAUGCAGUGCGGACGUCAUGAAGAACCUACACCUCUCAACCUACCCACAGCAGCCAUCAUCAUUUAACUAAAAGGCCUUUCUUUCUCCAUGCCUGGCUCCUGAGUAGGGUGACCAACUCAUUCUGGUUUGCCCAGGACUGUCCCAGUUUAAACACUGAAGACCCCAUGAUGCCGGAACCUCCCAAGUCCCGGGCAGAUCGUGACAGUGGAUGCCCUACUCCCUCAUCCUUACACCUGGGAAAAAAGAACUGUAAAUUCACCAAAAUAAUUGUGUGCUUUAUUUUACAGUGGUUGUUAAUGUUACAUCCCCAUUUUUUAAGGGGAAAAAAACAUACUUUUGGUUAUGAUGUGUGGAGAUUUAUUGCCAUAUAUAUUGAAUCAAAAUAUAUUAACAUAAAAGUACUUGUGAAGUAAAAUCUUUCUUGUGCAUUUUCAACACUUACAAACUGGAAAUCAGAAGAUUAAAUAUUUACUAUAAAGAAGAAAGAAAACGGAACAACAAGGGGGACAGAACAAGGCCUAGGACUGAAGCCUACUGAAUCUGGUCUAGUACUCCUUCCUACCUUUAGGAUUCCUCAAUAAGAGAUGCUUUGAAAGCACAGUGUUUCAAUUGGCUGAGACACCUUAGAAGAUUUCAUAGUUUCCUAAAUUUUAGUAGACAAAUUUUCAUUUUCAACUUAUUUUUCUUUAUCUACUUUCAUAAUCUAAAAAAUAUUUUCAGAACCUAAACACUGGAAUUAUAUCAAGGUAAGGAACUAAAGAACAUUCUUCAGUAGAGUUAGGUUCUUAAACUCUGACUAAAGAGGCACCUUAGUCUGGUUGAGAAGUCUGCAGUGUUCUAGUAGAAUCCUAGCACUAGAACUUUCAAGGCUUUAAGAAUGUCUAAACUGUGAUCCAAGUACGUGAUCCAACUGCCUCAACUGUGAUCUAACAAAAUUUUGAUACAUUAACCCCUCCCUCAAAUUUCCCUCUGGAUUCUUUCAAAAAAUCAGUUUAGUACUUGUGUUGCUAGGAAUUUUCACAAAAGUUUGGGAAGAGUUUGAACUGAGGAAAUGUUUGAAAUAAUUGUAACAUCUGAGCAUCUUUGGAA
This is a long non-coding RNA of Mesoplodon densirostris (Blainville's beaked whale), 1554 nucleotides long. RefSeq lists it as uncharacterized. The transcript has 4 exons. NCBI's taxonomy places the organism in Eukaryota, Metazoa, Chordata, Mammalia, Artiodactyla, Ziphiidae. The record is from RefSeq and is a predicted model, not a curated record.